This 1393-nucleotide ribosomal RNA is filed under the name uncultured Rhodanobacter sp. RNAcentral's name for it is "bacterial SSU rRNA". It matches the Rfam family "Bacterial small subunit ribosomal RNA". The record is from RNAcentral. Lineage: Bacteria; Pseudomonadati; Pseudomonadota; Gammaproteobacteria; Lysobacterales; Rhodanobacteraceae.
AGAGUUUGAUCCUGGCUCAGAUUGAACGCUGGCGGCGUGCCUAACACAUGCAAGUCGAACGGCAGUUGAUAGAGCUUGCUCUCUUGAUAGCGAGUGGCGGACGGGUGAGUAAUGCAUCGGGACCUACCCAGACGUGGAGGAUAACCUCGGGAAACCAGGACUAAUACCGCAUACGUCCUAUCGGAGAAGGGGGGGGACCUUUUGGCCUCUCGCGGUUGGACGGAUCGAUGUGCGAUUAGCUAGGUGGCGGGGUAAUGGCCCACCAAGGCAACGAUCCGUAGCUGGUCUGAGAGGAUGAUCAGCCACACUGGGACUGAGACACGGCCCAGACUCCUACGGGAGGCAGCCCUGGGGAAUAUUGGACAAUGGGGGCAACCCUGAUCCAGCAAUGCCGCGUGUGUGAAGAAGGCCUUCGGGUUGUAAAGCACUUUUAUCGGGAACGAAACAUUGUCGGCUAAUACCCGGCAAGACUGACGGUACCCGAGGAAUAAGCACCGGCUAACUCCGUGCCAGCAGCCGCGGUAAUACGGAGGGUGCUAGCGUUAAUCCGAAUUACUGGGCGUAAAGCGUGCGCAUGCGGUUUGUUAGAUCUGUUGUGAAGUCCCCCAGCUCAACUUGGGAAUUGCAAUGGAUACUGGUAAGCUGGAGUAUGGUAGAGGAAGGUGGAAUUCCCGGUGUAGCAGUGAAAUGCGUAGAGAUCGGGAGGAACACCAGUGGCGAAGGCGGCCUUCUGGACCAAUACUGACGCUCAUGCACGAGAGCGUGGGGAGCAAACAGGAUUAGAUACCCUGGUAGUCCACGCCCUAAACGAUGCGAACUGGAUGUUGGUCUCAACUCGGAGAUCAGUGUCGAAGCUAACGCGUUAAAUUCGCCGCCUGGGGAGUACGGUCGCAAGACUGAAACUCAAAGGAAUUGACGGGGGCCCGCACAAGCGGUGGAGUAUGUGGUUUAAUUAGAUGCAACGCGAAGAACCUUACCUGGCCUUGACAUGUCCGGAAUCUUGCAGAGAUGCGGGAGUGCCUUUGGGAAUAUGAACACACAGGUUGCAUGGCGGUGUUCACCUCUUGUCUUGAGAUAUUGUGUUAAAUCUCCCAACGAGAGCAACCCCUGUCCUUAGUUUCCCCCGAGUAAUGUCGGGAACUUUAAGGAGACUGCCGGUGACAAACCGGAGGAAGGUGGGGAUGACGUCAAGUCCUCAUGGCCCUUACGGCCAGGGCUACACACGUACUACAAUGGAUGGUACAAAGAGCUGCAAACCCGCGAGGGUAAGCGAAUCUCAUAAAGCCAUUCUCAGUUCGGAUUGUAGGCUGCAACUCGCCUACAUGAAGCCGGAAUCGCUAGUAAUCGUGGAUCAGCAUGCCACGGUGAAUACGUUCCCGGGCCUUGUACACAC